This 237-nucleotide ribosomal RNA is filed under the name uncultured bacterium. Its description in RNAcentral is "partial 16S ribosomal RNA". It matches the Rfam family "Bacterial small subunit ribosomal RNA", at positions 118 to 353 of the family's 1533-position model. The record is from RNAcentral.
UGAGCAAUCUGCCCUUCUCUUUGGAAUAAGCGUUGGAAACGACGUCUAAUGCCGAAUACGACCUCCUUUCGCAUGAUCGGAGGUGGAAAGCUCCGGCGGAGAAGGAUGAGCUCGCGGCCUAUCAGCUAGUUGGUGAGGGUAAUGGCCCACAAGGCGACGACGGGUAGCCGGCCUGAGGAGGGUGACCGGCCACACUGGGACUGAGACACGGCCCAGACCUCCGUACGGGAGGNAGCG